UACGUACCGGACAAACGUUAUUCGGAAUCACUGGGCUUAAAGAGUGCGUAGGCGGCCUUGCAGGUGAGGUGUGAAAUCCCACGGCUCAACCGUGGAAUUGCGCUUCAAACCGCUAGGCUCGAGGGAGACAGGGGUGAGUGGAACUGAUGGUGGAGCGGUGAAAUGCGUUGAUAUCAUCAGGAACACCAGUGGCGAAGGCGACUCACUGGGUCUCUACUGACGCUGAGGCACGAAAGCUAGGGGAGCAAACGGG
This 253-nucleotide ribosomal RNA is filed under the name uncultured bacterium. RNAcentral's name for it is "partial 16S ribosomal RNA". It matches the Rfam family "Bacterial small subunit ribosomal RNA", at positions 524 to 776 of the family's 1533-position model. The record is from RNAcentral.